GUAGGAGGCAAGCGUUAUCCGGAUUCACUGGGCGUAAAGCGCGUGCAGGUGGCGUGGUAAGUUGGAUGUGAAAUCUCCCGGCUCAACUGGGAGAGGUCAUUCAAUACUACCGUGCUUGAGAGCAGAAGAGGAAGAUGGAAUUCCCGGUGUAGUGGUGAAAUGCGUAGAUAUCGGGAGGAACACCAGUGGCGAAGGCGAUCUUCUGGUCUGUUUCUGACACUCAGACGCGACAGCUAGGGUAGUAAACGGGAUUAGAGACCCCGGUAAUCCUAGCCGUAAACGAUGUGAACUUGGCGUUGGUGGGUUAAACUCCAUCAGUGCCGUAGCAAACGCGAUAAGUUCACCGCCUGGGGACUACGGCCGCAAGGUUAAA
Molecule: ribosomal RNA, 373 nt
Filed under: uncultured bacterium
Lineage: Bacteria
Description: bacterial SSU rRNA
Rfam family: Bacterial small subunit ribosomal RNA
Source: RNAcentral